CGAACGCUGGCGGCGUGCUUAACACAUGCACGUCGAACGGAAAGGCCCUGCUUUUGUGGGGUGCUCGAGUGGCGAACGGGUGAGUAACACGUGAGUAACCUGCCCUUGACUUUGGGAUAACUUCAGGAAACUGGGGCUAAUACCGGAUAGGAGCUCCUGCUGCAUGGUGGGGGUUGGAAAGUUUCGGCGGUUGGGGAUGGACUCGCGGCUUAUCAGCUUGUUGGUGGGGUAGUGGCUUACCAAGGCUUUGACGGGUAGCCGGCCUGAGAGGGUGACCGGCCACAUUGGGACUGAGAUACGGCCCAGACUCCUACGGGAGGCAGCAGUGGGGAAUAUUGCACAAUGGGCGGAAGCCUGAUGCAGCAACGCCGCGUGCGGGAUGACGGCCUUCGGGUUGUAAACCGCUUUCGCCUGUGACGAGGCGUGAGUGACGGUAAUGGGUAAAGAAGCACCGGCUAACUACGUG
RNAcentral lists this ribosomal RNA (466 nucleotides) under uncultured bacterium. RNAcentral describes it as "partial 16S ribosomal RNA". It matches the Rfam family "Bacterial small subunit ribosomal RNA", at positions 30 to 507 of the family's 1533-position model. The record is from RNAcentral.